This 468-nucleotide ribosomal RNA is filed under the name uncultured bacterium. Its description in RNAcentral is "partial 16S ribosomal RNA". It matches the Rfam family "Bacterial small subunit ribosomal RNA", at positions 28 to 523 of the family's 1533-position model. The record is from RNAcentral.
GAUGAACGCUGGCGGCGUGCCUAACACAUGCAAGUCGAGCGAUUUACUUCGGUAAAGAGCGGCGGACGGGUGAGUAACGCGUGGGUAACCUGCCCUGUACACACGGAUAACAUACCGAAAGGUAUGCUAAUACGAGAUAAUAUGCUUUUAUCGCAUGGUAGAAGUAUCAAAGCUUUUGCGGUACAGGAUGGACCCGCGUCUGAUUAGCUAGUUGGUAAGGUAACGGCUUACCAAGGCGACGAUCAGUAGCCGACCUGAGAGGGUGAUCGGCCACAUUGGAACUGAGACACGGUCCAAACUCCUACGGGAGGCAGCAGUGGGGAAUAUUGCACAAUGGGCGAAAGCCUGAUGCAGCAACGCCGCGUGAGCGAUGAAGGCCUUCGGGUCGUAAAGCUCUGUCUUCAGGGACGAUAAUGACGGUACCUGAGGAGGAAGCCACGGCUAACUACGUGCCAGCCGCCGCCGUAC